Long non-coding RNA from Limulus polyphemus (Atlantic horseshoe crab), 592 nucleotides. RefSeq lists it as uncharacterized. The transcript has 4 exons. The record is from RefSeq and is a predicted model, not a curated record. Lineage: Eukaryota; Metazoa; Arthropoda; Merostomata; Xiphosura; Limulidae.
GUGACAUUUAAAACGGCUAAAUGGAUUUGUACGAAAGUUGCUAUAGAUCUCUUGGAUGACUCGUCUCAAGAGACUUGAUGGAACUCCCUGUACCUGGCUGUGGAGAGGAUCGCAAUGAGAAAGGGGAAGGAUCCAUUAUGAACGUUUAUGCUGAAUUUAAAAUAAAAAUAAUAUUUUAUUAAAAUCAUGUAAACUGACGGGUUGAAUCCCGUGGAGCUGGCAUUCCUGACAAAGUACGAUGUCAUAAUGAAACCCAUGACCAAGGCACUGGACAUCUUAAAAUCUGAGAAAAAUAUGCAGGUGGAGUGGCUACUGCCUACAAUCUACUUCCUGUGAUAAAGCUUAGAAAGAUCAAGCUCUGUAUAACACUUGUAAGUGCUGUAGAAUCUGGUAUCAAGAACCGCUUUGGCCACAUGAUGGAAGAUGCAGAGCCGAUUCCUGCACGGUUCAAGACUGCACGGAUCAAUGAUGAUAGAAUCAUCAAAAAAGGUGAAGAAAUUCCAGAGUUACAACCAGUUUCUGGAACAAUGAAAACUCACCAAGUCUUCACACAAAUACUUGAUACUAUUUCCUGUAGAAUCCUGAGUUGUUA